RNAcentral lists this ribosomal RNA (520 nucleotides) under uncultured bacterium. RNAcentral's name for it is "bacterial SSU rRNA". It matches the Rfam family "Bacterial small subunit ribosomal RNA", at positions 28 to 536 of the family's 1533-position model. The record is from RNAcentral.
GACGAACGCUGGCGGCGUGGAUUAGGCAUGCAAGUCGGACGGUAGGGCUUUAUCGUAAGAUAGAGUUUGAGAGUGGCGAACGGGUGAGUAACACGUAGGAAUCUACCCUUAAGACGGGGGACAACCCAGGGAAACUUGGGCUAAUACCGGAUGAGAGUGCGAGAGAUUGCAUUUAAAAGGAUGGCGAAAGUUGUCGCUUAGGGAUGAGCCUGCGGUCUAUUAGUUAGUUGGUGAGGUAAGAGCUCACCAAGGCGAUGAUAGAUAGGCGGCCUUAACGGGUGGUCGCCCACACUGGGAUUGAGAUACGGCCCAGACUCCUACGGGAGGCAGCAGUCGAGAAUAGUCUACAAUGGCCGGAAGGCUGAUAGUGCGACGCCGCGUGAACGAGGGAGCCCUUCGGGUGUAAAGCUCUGUUGCCGGGGACGAACGGUACUUAUAGGAAAUGAUAAGUAAGUGACGGUACCCGGCGAGAAAGCCACGGCUAACUACGUGCCAGCAGCCGCGGUAAGCAUACAUCGUA